CAUGGUCGGAUGAAGGCGAAAGAUAAAGAUCUUUAUUCCUAUUAAUCAAAGGCCAUAUCUAAUGGACAUUUAGCAAGCUAUCUGCAACCAUAAUAAAGAUUUUGGCGACUAUAAAAAGAGCAUUUGAAAAUCAAAAGCAAAGAUUAUAAGGUUUAGAAUUUGGACUACAAUUUUUAUACAAAUUUUAGAGAAUUUGGAGUUGACGUGAUGAAGUUAAAGCCAUUUGAAUUUAAGAUAUCUUUUUAAGAUAUA
This 252-nucleotide long non-coding RNA is filed under the name Physcomitrium patens. RNAcentral's name for it is "long non-coding RNA (PPAT_LNC006579)". Lineage: Eukaryota; Viridiplantae; Streptophyta; Bryopsida; Funariales; Funariaceae. The record is from RNAcentral.